AUAUCAAUGGAUGGGGUGUAGCCCAAAAUGCGGUCUUCCUCGAUUGAUGGAAUAUUUAGCAAUGCUUCAAAGUCCAACUUCCCGGCGACAGCACAGAUGCCGGGACCCGGGACCCACCACAUGUAUGGCCUACAGUUACUGUGGUGUACUCAGUUUGAUCCCAUUUCCUCCGCCAUCCUCCCGACCCAAUCACGUUCUUCCACGUUGUCAUUCUACCCUAAUUCUACCAAUACCCUCUCGACAACACCAAUCCCUUGUUCCCAAUCUCUUUUCUAAGCAUCUGUUUAGGUAAAUCUUGAGUUAAAAUCGAAAACAAAUCAAGAUGAUGUUUCAUUCGUUAAUCUUGCUCCCCCACCACAUGAUAUCUUUGAUUAAUCAUGAUACGGGCAUAAACGACAAGCAACUAGUGGAGAACAUAAACAUGGCGGUGGUGUGGUGGGGUGGAGUUAAGAACGCAACCACAAAGCAGAUUCGUCAUCUUUCUUCUAUAAAAUGGAAGAUUUUCGUGUCUGGGUUUAUCUUUCUAUAUUCCAUGUAUAACACAAUUAACUCAACCAUGAUUGAAAGAUACAAUAGCUAAGGAGUCUGUAACUAAUUGUGUUUCGAUCAAGAAAUGAUUUUGCAAAAGUUGUUUACUUUAUUUCAUGAUUAUCGUGUUCUUGCUGCUAACAAGUGAGGAGAAAAGAUGGAGUUUGGUUGAAAUCUGACAGAAGAGAGUGAGCACACGCAGAGGCAAUUGUAUAGAGAGACUAUAUUGGACUUAUGCGUGUGCUCACUUCUCUUGCUGUCAGCCUCCCUUUACUUCUUUCUCCUUUCACAUGUCUUCUGUUCUAUGUGUUGUUUAUGCUACAGAAUGUAUCAUAUGGGUUUUGCUUAUUUUAUGUAUUUUUUCAUGUUAAUGGGAACUGGGAAAGCAUGGAAAACUGUAGAAGGUGCAGAGAAGAUGGACACCUGGCUACUGGGAUAUAUAUCUAUCUAUCAAAAAUACUUGAAAAAAGCUGCAACUUUCUGAUGACUAUAGUUACACCACACCUACACCUCCACAUUCUUUAAUAUUGUUCUUAUCCCUCUUUCUCUACAAAAUAUCUUUUUCUUGGCUUCUUGCAACAUUAAAUAGUUUCAGAAUGGCAAGAUCUAUAAGAUCAAGAACAAUAGGUACAAAAUGGAUCGGAUCAUACCCAUCCGCAGGUUCUUUUCCUAUUGCUAAAUUUAUACUAUUUAUGAUUGAUUGGUUAUUUAUAUAAUUUGUUUCUAACUGUUGUUCUUUCUUACUGAUUUACAUUAUAAUAAUAUUUAUCCGACCUGGGAGUUGGAGUGCUACAAACCUGUACUUUUUGUUGAAGGAGAGGACGAAAUGAGAUUUUAUUUAAAUCAUUAGCAAGGCACACGCACUGAAAUACACAGAUAGCGAGAGAUCACUGUGUUAUAUGUACAUAUAUUCGAUGUGGGUUUUGAUUUUCAGGUAACAUGAUAGUAUGUAAGCAGAUAUAGUGAAGUCUUUGCCUUCUCAGAGAGGCAUCAAAUCAAAGAAAUUUUUUCAGGUACAAGAGAUCAUAUCAGUGAUAUGGGUUUGAUUUUCAAGUACGAUAGUGUGUAAGAAGUCGUUCUUUUCAUAUAUCUCAGGUAUCAGAUCAAAGAAAGAGUUUCAGGGACAUGCAGUACAUGAAGGGGAGAACGAAGAAACAAGUUACAAGGGAUUCAUGGAAACAAAGUGGGUUAAUUUACAAGUAUGCCGGUAUACGACUAGAUCCAAACAAGAAAUAAUCUGGUUGAUAUAAAAAUGGUUUGCUGAAAUUUUGUCGAGUGAGAAAGAUUAUGUUAGGUUUUUGAAAGACAAUUUUUUUCCAAGUGGCAAAUCAGCAAUUUUCUAGUACCAUUUAUGUUAAAAGCAUAUAUAUAGGGCUUCCUUUAUAUUUAGAAGCUCAAUUAGAUUACAUAUACUGAGUGGAUACUAAAAAUUCUGUAUAUGAUAUUGGGACUAUUUUAUUAUGUAACCAAUGGGCUUCAAGAUCAAAGACUAUUUGAAGUAGGGUUAUACCCUAAUCUUGUGAAUCAUGUAAUCUCAUUGGAUUCUUUAUUCA
Molecule: long non-coding RNA, 2081 nt
Organism: Lactuca sativa (garden lettuce)
Lineage: Eukaryota; Viridiplantae; Streptophyta; Magnoliopsida; Asterales; Asteraceae
Source: RefSeq, a predicted model, not a curated record